This is a long non-coding RNA of Thalassophryne amazonica, 209 nucleotides long. RefSeq lists it as uncharacterized. NCBI's taxonomy places the organism in Eukaryota, Metazoa, Chordata, Actinopteri, Batrachoidiformes, Batrachoididae. The record is from RefSeq and is a predicted model, not a curated record. The transcript is spliced from 3 exons.
UGCGUCCGACAGAGAAAGUGAUUAAGCCUGUUGCUCCCAAAAAAGUUGAGCCAACAGUCCCCCAGGAUUCGAAAACCUGAGUUCUUCUCAAUUCAUGUGUAUGCUAAUGGGAAAGCCCUGGUUCCUCCAGUCCUCAUAAAUAUUCCCAAAUAUGCAAUGAAGAGACUAGAAGAUGUGUACAGCAUUGUGGAAAAGAAAAUAAGUCUUUG